GUCCCAGUAGCGCAAUGGAUAGCGUGUUGGACUUCCAGUCUGAGGGUUGUGGGUUUGAAUCCCACAUGGGACG
Trichonephila inaurata madagascariensis is the source of this 73-nucleotide non-coding RNA. NCBI's taxonomy places the organism in Eukaryota, Metazoa, Arthropoda, Arachnida, Araneae, Nephilidae. The record is from the annotation of a GenBank genome assembly.